This 207-nucleotide ribosomal RNA is filed under the name uncultured bacterium. RNAcentral's name for it is "partial 16S ribosomal RNA". It matches the Rfam family "Bacterial small subunit ribosomal RNA", at positions 568 to 774 of the family's 1533-position model. The record is from RNAcentral.
CGCGUAGGCGGUUUGCUAAGUUGGAUGUGAAAACUCUGGGCUUAACCCAGAGCCUGCAUCCAAAACUGGCUAACUUGAGUACUGGAGGGGAAAGCGGAAUUCCUGGUGUAGCGGUGAAAUGCGUAGAUAUCAGGAGGAACACCGGUGGCGAAGGCGGCUUUCUGGACAGUAACUGACGCUGAGGCGCGAAAGCUAGGGGAGCAAACA